Rana temporaria (common frog) is the source of this 772-nucleotide long non-coding RNA. RefSeq lists it as uncharacterized. Lineage: Eukaryota; Metazoa; Chordata; Amphibia; Anura; Ranidae. The transcript has 3 exons. The record is from RefSeq and is a predicted model, not a curated record.
CAGCCUUCCCACAGAGCAGUGCGAGAGCGGGAAGCUGGAUCUGUGACUGAGGAGAAGAGGAGGCGGAGGAAGAGGCGGAACAAGAUGGCGGCCGAGUGCGGAGAGUUGUGAGCAUUCCAGAGUUCAUCUUGGUGACGGAGUGAGUGAACGUUAGAUUUGGCCUGUUGCUGCAUCUUUUCCAGAACACAUCAGGACUUGCACAAUGGAGGAAGAGACAGCCACUGAACCUACAGUUCGUAAGCAAAGACGCCGGAGACGGAGAAAGGGUCAAGUUGAAGAUUUGAACGGCCAACAAUUCCUUAACCAAGUCACGGAGCUGCUCAACACCAAGGAAGAUGAGUUGGAUAUGCUGGGUCAGACCGUGGCCUGCAAAUUGCGAAAAAUGAGAGAAGAUCAGAGAUUGGUUGCAGAAUACCUUAUUAAUUAUACUUUGUAUUUGGGUCUCAUGAACCGCCUGGAAAACGAUGAAAAAACAAAACCUAAUUAUAAUUUUGGCGAAUAUUCUGCUUCUGGACAAGGACAUGAAAACGAGGCCCAAAAUUCUGAUUCUUCAUUUGGGAUUUUGGACAGGUCUGGUGGAUUUAAAGAGGAGACCUAAAAAUUGUUUUAAGUCCAAGGUAAAUAAAAUGAUUGAGGUUCUCAUCGGAUGUAUGUUGCCAACUUUUUAUGCUUACUUUUGUUUCAUAGCCGUAAUGUUUUUUUCUUAAAACUUUCAUGAGGAAUUGCACUCAAUGCUGACUUUUCUAAUAAAGUAUUGUGAUUUAUUUCCUGA